RNAcentral lists this ribosomal RNA (351 nucleotides) under uncultured bacterium. Its description in RNAcentral is "partial 16S ribosomal RNA". It matches the Rfam family "Bacterial small subunit ribosomal RNA", at positions 338 to 686 of the family's 1533-position model. The record is from RNAcentral.
CCUACGGGAGGCAGCAGUGAGGAAUAUUGGUCAAUGGACGAGAGUCUGAACCAGCAAAGUAGCGUGAAGGAUGACUGCCCUAGGGGUUGUACACUUCUUUUAUAUGGGAAUAAAAUUUUCCAUGUGUGGUAUUUUGUAAGUCCCCUAUGACGCAGGAUCGGCAAACUCCGUGCAAGCAGCAGCGGUAAUACGGAGGAUCCGAGCGUUAUCCGGGUUUCUUGUGUGUAAAGGGAGCGUAGGGGGAUUUAUAAGCCAGUUGUGAAAGUCUGCGGCUUAACCAUAAAAUUGCAGUUGAAACAGGUAGUCUUGAGUACAGUAGAGGUGGGUGGAAUUCGUGGUGUAGCGGUAAAA